Molecule: ribosomal RNA, 345 nt
Filed under: uncultured bacterium
Lineage: Bacteria
Description: bacterial SSU rRNA
Rfam family: Bacterial small subunit ribosomal RNA
Source: RNAcentral
AGAGUUUGAUUAUGGCUCAGGACGAACGCUGGCGGCGUGCCUAACACAUGCAAGUCGAGCGGGGAUUUAAGUGGAAGUUCUUCGGAAUGGAGAUUUAAAUUCUAGCGGCGGACGGGUGAGUAACGCGUGAACAAUCUGUCCCGGACAGGGGGAUAACACUUGGAAACAGGUGCUAAUACCGCAUAAGACCACGAUACCGCAUGGUAAUGGGGUAAAAGGAGAAAUCUGGUUCGGGGUGAGUUCGCGUCCGAUUAGCUAGUUGGUGAGGUAACGGCCCACCAAGGCGACGAUCGGUAGCCGGCCUGAGAGGGUGAACGGCCACAUUGGAACUGAGAGACGGUCCAA